Molecule: ribosomal RNA, 424 nt
Filed under: uncultured archaeon
Lineage: Archaea
Description: partial 16S ribosomal RNA
Rfam family: Archaeal small subunit ribosomal RNA
Source: RNAcentral
CUACGGGCUGCUGCAGUCGCGGAACUUUUACAAUGCACGCAAGUGUGAUAAAGCGAACCAAAGUGCUUAUCAUUUAGAUAAGCUUUUUCUCUACGUAAAAACUAGAGAGAAUAAGGACUGGGAAAGACUGGUGCCAGCCGCCGCGGUAAUACCAGCAGUUCAAGUUGCAUCCAUUUUUAUUGGGUCUAAAACAUCCGUAGCUUGGUGCUUAAGUCUCUUGUGAAAUCUCACGUCUCAAGCGUGGUGAAGUGCAGGAGAUACUGAGUACCUAGAGAUCGGUAGACGUAAGCAGUACGGGACGGGUAACGGUCAGAUGUGUUAAUCCGUCUUGGACUAACAAUCAGCGAAGGCAGCUUACGAGGACGAAUCUGACAGUGAGGGAUGAAGGCCAGGGGCGCAAAACGGAUUAGAUACCCCAGUAGUC